Molecule: long non-coding RNA, 694 nt
Organism: Oreochromis niloticus (Nile tilapia)
Lineage: Eukaryota; Metazoa; Chordata; Actinopteri; Cichliformes; Cichlidae
Exons: 2
Source: RefSeq, a predicted model, not a curated record
UUUGCAUGGUUUUAUUCUGUUUCUAUUGCAUGGUUUUUAGUGUUUUACAUGACAUGGUUUUAAUCCACUGUGGACUGGCUACACAUGGGACAAAUUAGCUGAUGGGGACCACCUGCUGAGGCAUGGGUGUGUCCAGAGGUGGCCUAUCAGCUGUGUAAAGACCUUUUAAAAGCAGGGCUAGCAGAGCACUGAAGAAAGGAGGCCCAGAGUGGAAGAGGAAUGCUAGAUGGCCAGCGUGACACGACGGCCCAGUUGGACAGUGUGAAGGGCGACAGUGGGAGACGCUGCCUGUUAUCGGCCGCCGGGCAGAGGUGUACCUGUGCCGGCAUAUGUUGCUGACACGAGGGGAUCCAUGGUGGCAUUGCGUGGAGGAUUCCAGUGUGAAAUGGAAGCCGGGCUGGGAUGUGGGCGGCCCAGUGAGAGGACAAGAGGGGAAUAGGAGGCUCCUCCCCGUCGGCCUAAUACAGGGCUAGCAUGGAACCAACUCAUGCAAAGGAGUUUCUGGCCCGCUGGUGGACCCAUAGUGCAUCCAUGGUUGUGGGACAUGACAUCAGGGAAUUUUAGUAAAUGUAGAAAAUUGUAUUUUUACUAGUUUUAGCGGUCAAUAACAUUUUUCCCAUGUAUGUUUUCAAGGGUGUUUUUAUUUGUGAUCCCUGGCCUAGAAAUAAACUGUUUCUGAUGAGACCUGCUUCAU